Sitophilus oryzae (rice weevil) is the source of this 914-nucleotide long non-coding RNA. RefSeq lists it as uncharacterized. The transcript is spliced from 3 exons. NCBI's taxonomy places the organism in Eukaryota, Metazoa, Arthropoda, Insecta, Coleoptera, Curculionidae. The record is from RefSeq and is a predicted model, not a curated record.
UUUUUAUUUAUGACAGACAUGAGGUCACGUGAUAAUGUAGUUAGUUAAUUAUUCAGUAGAGUAGUAAAAACAUGGCGUUAAGUUGAUGGCUUGUUGCCAAUUUAUUAAUGUAUUUUUCAAGUUAAUCAUUAAAGUUUAAUAAUAAAAUCUUCGUGUUUUCAUAAUAAUAACGACAGUAGCAACAGUAUCUUUGAUUUAUAUUGACGAAUAUCAAAAUUGCAAUGAUGUGAAUUAUGUGUAAAAUAGAGGAAAGAUACUUAAUGGAGAUUGUGAAGUAAGACAUUUUGGACAAUUGGACAUGACAAAGAAUUAAGAAGCACGGCAAUAGAGGUAGAAAAAAAAUAAGGCUAGAGAAGCACCAGUCUAGUGUUGAGAAUAUCGGAAGCCCCAAAAUUAGAUGGAUCCUAUAAUAAUGGUUAUUAAGGACAGAAUUUGUGUGUUUAUUUUUUUUUAAAUCAUGUAUAAUUUAAAUUUUGAAAUAGAAUGUACUGUGUCCUAGGCUAGGUUUAGGGGAGUUUCAUGUUAUUAAAUAAAUUACUUUUUCUUUUCAAAUGUAGUCUUCUAUAGUGUUUUAUUUAUGUCUAAUUCUAUUGACAAUGAAAUUAGAGCUGUGUAAAUCUAUAAUAAGAUAUGUUGCCAUGAAAUAAAAACACAUCUCUCUCAAAAAAAGUUUUUUUAACAGGUUUAAUAUUUUUAUUCUAUCUUGUGCAUUCCAUUCCAUGAGCAUUUAUUUCAUAGUUGGCAUGAAAAAGGUAACUGUUUGUUUAUACCAUGGUUUAUAUGUAAGUGAAUUUCAUCGGUCAUCAUUUCCAAGCCAACUCUGACUCCAUUUUUUAUCACACGUACUUAAUUCACAAGAAUUUGAUGAUUAAAUACAUAUACCUUAAUAAAGUAAUUAUAAAUAUAUUUAUUCA